Molecule: long non-coding RNA, 440 nt
Organism: Trichomycterus rosablanca
Lineage: Eukaryota; Metazoa; Chordata; Actinopteri; Siluriformes; Trichomycteridae
Exons: 3
Source: RefSeq, a predicted model, not a curated record
CAUACAAGAUGACCACCAAGAAGAAAAACUAAUGGAUUUUAUCCCUAAUGGAACAACACACGGAUAUAGAUUUGGUCUCAAUUUAAAGAAGAGAAGCUCAGCACUUUAUUCUUGGUGGGUCUGAUUCAAAAAGGAAUCCUCAGACAGGUUCAUCAUCAACUGCAGUUUUUUUUUUACCAGGAAAAUACGGGGGUGGAAGAUGUCAUCCUCUCCCUGCUACACAGGACCUACUCUCACCUUGACACAUCACCUCUGAGCUGUGAAAAUUAUGUUCAGAUUUUUCCAGCACCUCCAACACCAUCCAGUCACUGCUUUCAGAACUUAUGAACUAGACUGGUCAGACAACACAAACUCAAUAUACAGGAAAGGACAAAACGUUCUCUACUUCUUGAGGAGGCUGGAGUACUUUAAAACCUGUAAUAAAAUCCUGGUGCUGCUUU